RNAcentral lists this microRNA (20 nucleotides) under Ectocarpus siliculosus. Its description in RNAcentral is "esi-miR3467-5p". Lineage: Eukaryota; Phaeophyceae; Ectocarpales; Ectocarpaceae. The record is from miRBase by way of RNAcentral.
UGCGGCGAGCCAAGACCAUA